GUGAACGCUGGCGGUAGGCCUAACACAUGCAAGUCGAACGGCAGCACCGUAAGAGCUUGCUCUUACGGGUGGCGAGUGGCGGACGGGUGAGGAAUACAUCGGAAUCUACUUUUUCGUGGGGGAUAACGUAGGGAAACUUACGCUAAUACCGCAUACGACCUACGGUUGAAAGCAGGGGAUCUUCGGACCUUGCGCGAUUGAAUGAGCCGAUGUCGGAUUAGCUAGUUGGCGGGGUAAAGGCCCACCAAGGCGACGAUCCGUAGCUGGUCUGAGAGGAUGAUCAGCCACACUGGAACUGAGACACGGUCCAGACUCCUACGGGAGGCAGCAGUGGGGAAUAUUGGACAAUGGGCGCAAGCCUGAUCCAGCCAUACCGCGUGGGUGAAGAAGGCCUUCGGGUUGUAAAGCCCUUUUGUUGGGAAAGAAAAGCAGCAGGUUAAUACCCCGCUGUUCUGACGGUACCCAAAGAAUAAGCACCGGCUAACUUCGUG
Molecule: ribosomal RNA, 491 nt
Filed under: uncultured bacterium
Lineage: Bacteria
Description: partial 16S ribosomal RNA
Rfam family: Bacterial small subunit ribosomal RNA
Source: RNAcentral